This 406-nucleotide ribosomal RNA is filed under the name uncultured bacterium. RNAcentral's name for it is "partial 16S ribosomal RNA". It matches the Rfam family "Bacterial small subunit ribosomal RNA", at positions 29 to 526 of the family's 1533-position model. The record is from RNAcentral.
AUUGAACGCUGGCGGCAGGCCUAACACAUGCAAGUCGAACGAGUGGCGGACGGGCGAGUAAUGUCUGGGAAACUGCCUGAUGGAGGGGGAUAACUACUGGAAACGGUAGCUAAUACCGCAUACCAUCGGAUGUGCCCAGAUGGGAUUAGCUAGUAGGUGGGGUAAAGGCUCACCUAGGCGACGAUCCCUAGCUGGUCUGAGAGGAUGACCAGCCAACCGGGAACGGAGACCCGGUCCAGACGCCUCGGGGGGGCAGCAGUGGGGAAUAUUGCACAAUGGGCGCAAGCCUGAUGCAGCCAUGCCGCGUGUAGGAAGAAGGCCUUCGGGUUGUAAAGUACUUUCAGCGGGGAGGCGUUACCCGCAGAAGAAGCACCGGCUAACUCCGUGCCAGCAGCCGCGGUAAUAC